Molecule: ribosomal RNA, 254 nt
Filed under: uncultured bacterium
Lineage: Bacteria
Description: partial 16S ribosomal RNA
Rfam family: Bacterial small subunit ribosomal RNA
Source: RNAcentral
UACGUAGGCAGCGAGCGUUGUUCGGAGUUACUGGGCGUAAAGGGUGCGUAGGCGGUUGUUUUAAGUUUGGUGUGAAAUCUCCCGGCUCAACUGGGAGGGUGCGCCGAAUACUGAAUGACUAGAGUGCGGGAGAGGAGAGUGGAAUUCCUGGUGUAGCGGUGAAAUGCGUAGAUAUCAGGAGGAACACCGGUGGUGUAGACGGCUCUCUGGACCGUAACUGACGCUGAGGCACGAAAGCGUGGGUAGCAAACAGG